GACGUAGUGCCAGAGUGGUUAAUGGGUUAGACUUGAAUUACCUAAUUCAUGUCAUCUAAUGGCUUCGGCCUCGCAAGUUCGAAUCUUGUCUACGUCG
This 97-nucleotide transfer RNA is filed under the name Trematosphaeria pertusa. RNAcentral describes it as "tRNA-Ser". It matches the Rfam family "tRNA". Rfam says of the family: Transfer RNA (tRNA) molecules are approximately 80 nucleotides in length. Lineage: Eukaryota; Fungi; Ascomycota; Dothideomycetes; Pleosporales; Trematosphaeriaceae. The record is from RNAcentral.